AUUGAACGCUGGCGGCAUGCCUUACACAUGCAAGUCGAACGGUAACAGGUCUUCGGAUGCUGACGAGUGGCGAACGGGUGAGUAAUACAUCGGAACGUGCCUAGUAGUGGGGGAUAACUACUCGGAAGAGUGGCUAAUACCGCAUGAGAUCUACGGAUGAAAGCAGGGGAUCGCAAGACCUUGUGCUACUAGAGCGGCCGAUGGCAGAUUAGGUAGUUGGUGGGAUAAAAGCUUACCAAGCCGACGAUCUGUAGCUGGUCUGAGAGGACGAUCCGCCACACUGGGAGUGAGACACGGCCCAGACUCCUACGGGAGGCAGCAGUGGGGAAUUUUGGACAAUGGGCGCAAGCCUGAUCCAGCAAUGCCGCGUGCAGGAUGAAGGCCUUCGGGUUGUAAACUGCUUUUGUACGGAACGAAAAGCCCCGGGUUAAUACCCUGGGGUCAUGACGGUACCGUAAGAAUAAGCACCGGCUAACUACGUGCCAGCAGCCGCGGUAA
This 498-nucleotide ribosomal RNA is filed under the name uncultured bacterium. RNAcentral's name for it is "partial 16S ribosomal RNA". It matches the Rfam family "Bacterial small subunit ribosomal RNA", at positions 30 to 523 of the family's 1533-position model. The record is from RNAcentral.